RNAcentral lists this unclassified non-coding RNA (262 nucleotides) under Hevea brasiliensis (rubber tree). The record is from RNAcentral. Lineage: Eukaryota; Viridiplantae; Streptophyta; Magnoliopsida; Malpighiales; Euphorbiaceae.
GGACUUUCAGGCUGGUCGUCAGGCAUUCAAAGGUUUUGUGUGCGAGUUUCUCUUUCUCCAUCUCUACCACUUUCUUUCCAUUUUCUUGUUUUGUGUGUUAUGUGUGAUGGAUGGGUAAAUUUUUUGUUUCCCUUUUCUUGCUCUGGCCCUUCUUUUUCCUCUCUUCUUUUGCGUGACGGAAUUUCACUUUGACAUUAGGGAAAGAAAGAAAAAGUCUUUCCUGAGAGGGCAAGCGUUGUUUCAGAUCCUUUUUUUGUUGUGG